UACAGAGGGUGCAAGCGUUAAUCGGAAUUACUGGGCGUAAAGCGUGCGUAGACGGUUAUGUAAGUCAGAUGUGAAAGCCCCGGGCUCAACCUGGGAAUUGCAUUUGAGACUGUGUAGCUAGGGUGCGGAAGAGGGAAGCGGAAUUUCCGGUGUAGCGGUGAAAUGCGUAGAUAUCGGAAGGAACACCAGUGGCGAAAGCGGCUUCCUGGUCCAGCACCGACGUCAGGCACGAAAGCGUGGGGAGCAAACAGG
RNAcentral lists this ribosomal RNA (252 nucleotides) under uncultured bacterium. Its description in RNAcentral is "partial 16S ribosomal RNA". It matches the Rfam family "Bacterial small subunit ribosomal RNA", at positions 524 to 776 of the family's 1533-position model. The record is from RNAcentral.